UGGACAGUUUUGAAAAAAUUU
Non-coding RNA from Caenorhabditis elegans, 21 nucleotides. NCBI's taxonomy places the organism in Eukaryota, Metazoa, Nematoda, Chromadorea, Rhabditida, Rhabditidae. The record is from Ensembl.